Molecule: long non-coding RNA, 527 nt
Organism: Cyanistes caeruleus (blue tit)
Lineage: Eukaryota; Metazoa; Chordata; Aves; Passeriformes; Paridae
Source: RefSeq, a predicted model, not a curated record
UAUCCAUGUAGGAAACGACCUCAAAGAUCAGUGAGCCCAGCUGUUAGCCCAGCACUGCCAAAUCCACCAGUAAACCACACUCCCGCCUAUUUCUAGCUGUAAUGUCCUUCUCUGUCAUCUGUGACUCGGUGUCUGCAACCUGCGAGUUUCUACUCAUGCCUGAAGUAUCAGCAAGAAUGUGAAUGAAGACAACACUUACACCUCCUGCCAGUUCAGAUCCUCCUCUGCUGAGGACCUGUUGUCCUCCUGAUUAUAAUGCUGAAUGAAUGGCUGGUGGCUUACAUCCAUGUUUCCCCAGAGCUCUAGUUGUUACCUUGUCAGAUCACAUCUUACAAGUAUUCUCUGGUUAAAUUCACUGGUAGGCUAUUAUCAAGUUAUCUGAAUGUUGGUACCUGGUUUACAGAAGUUUCCUUACAGCUUAUCAUGGUAAUUCUCUUCCAAUGGGGAUGAUAUAAUGUUUGGAAAUAUUAUAGAGAUUUCCUUUGUAGGCCAAAGGCUUCAAAAUGUUUGUCUACAGAUAUGAAUAA